GACGAACGCUGGCGGCGUGCUUAACACAUGCAAGUCGAACGGAAAGGCCCUGCUUUUGUGGGGUGCUCGAGUGGCGAACGGGUGAGUAACACGUGAGUAACCUGCCCUUGACUUUGGGAUAACUUCAGGAAACUGGGGCUAAUACCGGAUAGGAGCUCCGGCUGCAGGGGGGGGGUGGGAAGGUUUCGGCGGUUGGGGAUGGACUCGCGGCUUAUCAGCUUGUUGGUGGGGUAGUGGCUUACCAAGGCUUUGACGGGUAGCCGGCCUGAGAGGGUGACCGGCCACAUUGGGACUGAGAUACGGCCCAGACUCCUACGGGAGGCAGCAGUGGGGAAUAUUGCACAAUGGGCGGAAGCCUGAUGCAGCAACGCCGCGUGCGGGAUGACGGCCUUCGGGUUGUAAACCGCUUUCGCCUGUGACGAAGCGUGAGUGACGGUAAUGGGUAAAGAAGCACCGGCUAACUACGUG
This 468-nucleotide ribosomal RNA is filed under the name uncultured bacterium. Its description in RNAcentral is "partial 16S ribosomal RNA". It matches the Rfam family "Bacterial small subunit ribosomal RNA", at positions 28 to 507 of the family's 1533-position model. The record is from RNAcentral.